Molecule: ribosomal RNA, 1427 nt
Filed under: Agromyces iriomotensis
Lineage: Bacteria; Bacillati; Actinomycetota; Actinomycetes; Micrococcales; Microbacteriaceae
Description: bacterial SSU rRNA
Rfam family: Bacterial small subunit ribosomal RNA
Source: RNAcentral
UGCGCGUGCUUACAGAUGCAUGUCGAACGAUGAACUAGCAGCUUGCUGGGGGGAUUAGUGGCGAACGGGUGAGUAACACGUGAGUAACCUGCCCUGGACUCUGGGAUAACCCCGAGAAAUCGGAGCUAAUACCGGAUAGGACCCUGGAAGGCAUCUUCUGGGGUGGAAAGUUUUUCGGUCUGGGAUGGACUCGCGGCCUAUCAGCUUGUUGGUGAGGUAAUGGCUCACCAAGGCGUCGACGGGUAGCCGGCCUGAGAGGGUGACCGGCCACACUGGGACUGAGACACGGCCCAGACUCCUACGGGAGGCAGCAGUGGGGAAUAUUGCACAAUGGGCGCAAGCCUGAUGCAGCAACGCCGCGUGCGGGAUGACGGCCUUCGGGUUGUAAACCGCUUUUAGUAAGGAAGAAGGGGAGCUUGCUCCUUGACGGUACUUGCAGAAAAAGGACCGGCUAACUACGUGCCAGCAGCCGCGGUAAUACGUAGGGUCCGAGCGUUGUCCGGAAUUAUUGGGCGUAAAGAGCUCGUAGGCGGUUUGUCGCGUCUGCUGUGAAAUCCCGAGGCUCAACCUCGGGCCUGCAGUGGGUACGGGCAGACUGGAGUGCGGUAGGGGAGAAUGGAAUUCCUGGUGUAGCGGUGGAAUGCGCAGAUAUCAGGAGGAACACCGAUGGCGAAGGCAGUUCUCUGGGCCGUAACUGACGCUGAGGAGCGAAAGCGUGGGGAGCGAACAGGAUUAGAUACCCUGGUAGUCCACGCCGUAAACGUUGGGCGCUAGAUGUGGGGACCUUUCCACGGUUUCCGUGUCGUAGCUAACGCAUUAAGCGCCCCGCCUGGGGAGUACGGCCGCAAGGCUAAAACUCAAAGGAAUUGACGGGGGCCCGCACAAGCGGCGGAGCAUGCGGAUUAAUUCGAUGCAACGCGAAGAACCUUACCAAGGCUUGACAUAACCGAGAACGCGCUAGAGAUAGCGAACUCUUUGGACACUCGGUUACAGGUGGUGCAUGGUUGUCGUCAGCUCGUGUCGUGAGAUGUUGGGUUAAGUCCCGCAACGAGCGCAACCCUCGUCGUAUGUUGCCAGCACGUAAUGGUGGGAACUCAUAUGAGACUGCCGGGGUCAACUCGGAGGAAGGUGGGGAUGACGUCAAAUCAUCAUGCCCCUUAUGUCUUGGGCUUCACGCAUGCUACAAUGGCCGGUACAAAGGGCUGCGAUGUCGUAAGGCGGAGCGAAUCCCAAAAAGCCGGUCUCAGUUCGGAUUGAGGUCUGCAACUCGACCUCAUGAAGUCGGAGUCGCUAGUAAUCGCAGAUCAGCAACGCUGCGGUGAAUACGUUCCCGGGCCUUGUACACACCGCCCGUCAAGUCAUGAAAGUCGGUAACACCCGAAGCCGGUGGCCUAACCCUUGUGGAGGGAGCCGUCGAAGGUGAUCGA